RNAcentral lists this long non-coding RNA (1335 nucleotides) under Chloebia gouldiae (Gouldian finch). RNAcentral describes it as "Erythrura gouldiae (Gouldian finch) lncRNA (ENSEGOG00005018699.1)". The record is from RNAcentral. Lineage: Eukaryota; Metazoa; Chordata; Aves; Passeriformes; Passeridae.
AAAAUUCUCCCCAAAUUCACACCAAAUUUCUCCCCAAAUUCACGCCCAGAAUCCCAAUCCCAGGAGUCCCAAAUCUUCUCAAAUUCAUCCCCAAAUUCGCCCAAAUUCCUCCUCAAAAUCCUCCCAAAUUCUUCCCCAAAUCCCCCCAAACUCCCGAGGGAUCUGUAAUGGGUGCGCAGCGGGAACGCCACCCGGAACCCCCCGCUGGGCCUGCGGGGGGAAUUCGGGGUCAGAAUCGAGGAUUUUGGGAAAUUUCAGAACAUUCGUACAAAAUUCGCCGGAGUUUCCAGCAAAAUCCGCUGAAAUUUGCCCCAAAAUCGCCCUAAAAUCACCCGAAACAGGAUGAAAUUUCCUCCACAAAUUCGGUCGCCAAAUCCCCUAAAAUUCUUCCCCAAAUUCUUUCCCAAAUUUCACCCCUCAAAAUCCCAGUCCCAGGAGUCCCAAAUCCUCUCAAAUUCUUCCCCAAAUUCACCCAAAUUUCUCCUCAAAAUCCUCCCAAAUUCACCCCCAAAUUCACCCAAAUUCGUUCCCCAAAAUCCCAAUCCCAGGAGUCCCAAAUUCCCUCAAAUUCUUCCCCAAAUUCACCCAAAUGUCUCCUCAAAAUCCUCCCAAAGUCACCCCAAAAUUCUCCCCAAAUUCACUCCCAAAUUUCUCCCCAAAUUCACUCCCCAGAAUCCCAAUCCCAGGAGUCCCAAAUCCUCUCAAAUUCUUCCCCAAAUUCAAUCAUAUUCCUCCUCAAAAUCCUCCCAAAUUCACCCCCAAAUUCACCCAAAUUCACUCCCCAAAAUCCCAACCCCAAGAGCCCCAAAUUCCCUCAAAUUCAUCCCCAAAUUCCCCCAAAUUCCUCCUCAAAAUCCUCCCAAAUUCACCCCCAAAUUCACCCAAAUUCACUCCCCAAAAUCCCAACCCCAAGAGCCCCAAAUUCCCUCAAAUUCUUCCCCAAAUUCAUCCAAAUUUCUCCUCAAAAUCCUCCCUCAAUUCACCCAAAUUCGUUCCCCAAAAUUCCAAUCUCAGGAGACCCAAAUCCUCUCAAAUUCUUCCCCAAAUUCCCCCAAAUUUCUCCUCAAAAUCCUCCCAAAUUCACCCCCAAAUUCACCCCGAAUCUCUCCCAAAUUCACUCCCCAAAAUCCCAAUCCCAAGAGUCCCAAAUUGCCUCAAAUUCUUCCCCAAAUUCACCCAAAUUUCUCCUCAAAAUCCUCCCAAAUUCACCCCAAAAUUCUCCCCAAAUUCACUCCCAAAUUUCUCCCCAAAUUCACGCCCAGAAUCCCAAUCCCAGGAGUCCCAAAUCUUCUCAAAUUCUUCCCCAAAUUUCACCCCAAAUUCACCCAAAUUCAC